RNAcentral lists this ribosomal RNA (253 nucleotides) under uncultured bacterium. RNAcentral describes it as "partial 16S ribosomal RNA". It matches the Rfam family "Bacterial small subunit ribosomal RNA", at positions 524 to 776 of the family's 1533-position model. The record is from RNAcentral.
UACGGAGGGUGCAAGCGUUAUCCGGAUUCACUGGGUUUAAAGGGUGCGUAGGUGGGCAGGUAAGUCAGUGGUGAAAUCUCUGGGCUUAACCCGGAAACUGCCGUUGAUACUAUCUGUCUUGAAUAUAGUGGAGGUGAGCGGAAUAUGUCAUGUAGCGGUGAAAUGCUUAGAUAUGACAUAGAACAUCGAUUGCGAAGGCAGCUCGCUACACUAUGAUUGACACUGAGGCACGAAAGCGUGGGGAUCAAACAAG